RNAcentral lists this non-coding RNA (70 nucleotides) under Schistosoma bovis. Lineage: Eukaryota; Metazoa; Platyhelminthes; Trematoda; Strigeidida; Schistosomatidae. RNAcentral also lists the same sequence under 1 other name. The record is from RNAcentral.
CAAUUAACUCCGCCUGUAGCUCUUAUAGGGUUGCUGCCGGUCCCAAGCCCGGGUAAAGGAGGAGGGUUGG